AAAGUGAUAGAGACACUGAUGACGGGUAUUGAUGGUACAUCUGAUACUAGUAAAGCCCUUAAAGGUUUUCUUCCAAUUAGUGGAGGAGAUGCUCUUUUCAUUCAUCCUCAUUUCCUUAUAAAUAUUCCAGUUGCUCUGUUGAUUUCAAGUCUGCAUAUCUGCCUUGAAAGAUCACCACAUGUUUGCUUCCAACACAUCAAGGCUAUGCCAUCCAAAUCCCCCAGAAGGAUAUGAAACUAUGUGAAAGUUGAAGAAAUUGGUCUCUAAGUAGUUACAGAAUACAGUAUUAUGAAAAUCACCCAACGCUAAGAACAUAAAAUUUAAGCAGUUCAGCAACUUGCUUACUCUUCAAAACACAUUUACUAUAAAAAAUAAUCAAACACCCUCCUCAAUCAACAAUCUAAAUUCCACUUCACAAAGCACAAUCUCUUUGUUGUUACACUUCAUUAUGCAUACACCUCAUAUAUAUACUCAAGGAUAGAUAGGAACUUACAUUUGCAUAUCAGUUCGCUUCUCAAUACAAUGAUGACAGGCCGGAAAAUAGAUUGUUAAUAGUCAUUCCCUUCAAGGAGAUUCUGGGACGAGGCUUGUGGCCACUAUAGGACUCCUAACAACAUAUUUACCUCCAUCAUGCAUCCAGCUUAAUGACCCGUGGACCACUACAUCUUCCAAUAAUUUUGGACCCUCCAAAGUAAGUUUGAAGCUCAGCUUCUCAUGCUCCUUAUUGAAAAUCAAUUUCUCUGGCUCCACAUUGACCUUUAUUCCAUUCAUGGGUGUCACUUUUGCAGUAUAACUCGAAAUGGCCUCUCCAACAUUAGUCAAAGUCCUUCGAAAUUCGUGCACAAAUUUCCCAUCUGAACCUGAGUAAGCAAUAAAAGAUGGAUAAUUAAGAUCCAAGGACUUGUUUAAACAAUUUUGAGUGGAUCUUGUGAUGAUUUGUAUUUGUUUCUUUGUGUAGUUCAUUGCACAAAGAAGCUUUAUGUAGUCCUCGGCUGUGGCAUCAUAGAUGAGCCCUGGAUCAAGUGAUUUGUUGGGAUCCAUGUGGCCAGCUCCUAUGUCUAAAGGGGUGGCUGCCAAAUUAUAAUUUGCAACAUCUUUAAUAGGGUUAUGAGUGUUAUCUAGUGGAUUUGCUGUGGUCAUAAGGGCAGAUCUAAUGGCUGCCGGGCUCCAAUCUGGGUGUGCUUUUUUAAUAAGUGCAGCCACACCCGCAACAUGAGGGGCUGCCAUUGAAGUGCCUGAUAAGAGAUUGAAUUUGCUAAACAAUGGAUGUGAUUGAACCUGAGCUACUGAGCUAAUUGGAGACCAUGAUGCUAGGACUAAUGAGCCAGGAGCCAGAAUGUCUGGCUUUAGGACAUGCUGACAGCUUGGAAAUGGCCCUCUGGAGCUAUAACCACCCACCUUUGGUGCUGCCUUAGUGCCAAUAAUUGUCUUCCGAAAUUGCAAACUUCCUUUUGGAUUAUUUCUCUUCUGUAUGUAUUCUACUACCUUCUGCCCAGCUUGUAGACCGAUAAAUGCUGCUGGAAACGAACUUCGAGUGUAGUAUUCUGAAAGAGAUAUAUUAGUAACGAAAACGGCUCCUGAAACUUUUGCAGACUUAGCUUUUUCAACUUGAUCACUGAUACUUAGAUUGUCCUUGCACACAAUAAUAUUAUUCUUAAAUUUCUUCAUUUUGUGCACACUUUCACAGCCAUCCAAGAAAACAAGAGGUCUUUGGAUUAGAGAUGAAUUUCCCGGAUACAAUGUGGUGAAGUUGAUCUGGUUCCCAUCACCUAAAGUGAAAAUUCCUUCAAAUUCGCGGUCUACAGUACCUGCUCCAACUGUUAGCAGCCAUGGAGCUCCAUUGACUACUGUCCAAUAUAGAGAACCAUCAUUUCCAGCUGAAGCCGCUACAAAUAUACCCUUUUCCAUAGCUGCAAAAGUGGCUAUUGCCAUUGAAUCAUCUUCCAAAAAGAUGUCAUCUAAAGCGAAGGCCAACGAUAAGGAUAAUAUAUCCACCCCAUCUUGAAUUGCUUGGUCUAUGGCAGCAAGAACAUCAGAUUCAUAAACCCCAUAUGUCCAAAUUGCUUUGUACAUGGCUAUUCUAGCCCGAGGCGCCAUACCUGAAGCUGUACCAGAGGCAUAACCAAAAUAAGACGCUCCUUUCACAUAGUUGCCUGCAGCGAUUGACGCAGUGUGCGUUCCAUGUCCACUUGUAUCUCUGGGAGAGUUCACUGAAAUUUUCAACUUAGGAUUGUUUGCAAGCAGACCCUUGUUGUAAAAGUGAGCACCGAUGAGUUUCUUGUUACACAAGGAAGAAUUAAAUCGAGUGCCUGAUGCACAUUUUCCUUUCCAUCUAGAAGGAAUUACAGUCAUUCCUUCAUCGCUAAAGCUCUCACUCUCUGGCCAAAUUCCAGUAUCAACCAAACCAAUAAUAACAUCUUCACCAUAAUUUGUAGCUGGCCAAGCACCGGAAACUGAGCUUAGGCCAAUAAACUGGGACGUGUGAGUUGUGAGAACUUUAAGAGGACGAUCUCGGGUAGAAGAAAUGUAGCCAGGGGAUUUCUUGAGUUUUUCAAGUUCAGAACUGGUGAGAAUGGCACUAAAUCCAUGGACAGAACUCGCGUAAGUAUAUAUAUGCUUAGAGUUUGGAGUGAAAGUUGUUUUGGAAGUGUCUGAUAUGGAAGAAAUAGUGGUUAGAUACCAGUUAUGGUGGUCAGAGAAUGCUUUAGGCAUGGCUGACAAGUCCAUGUGAAUGAUAUAUGCAUUAGAUUGUGCCAAAACAGAGGAUAGGAGAGAAAUCGUGAUCAGAAGUAUACAUCCCAGCGCUACCACUACCUUGAAAAUUGGAGGAGCCAUGGGUGAUUGCAAUGCCCUUCUAUGGGCAGAAUCUUUGCCUUUAGGAGUUCAAAUGUAAAGAGUUCACUUUUCCCCCCUAUAGCUGCCUUCUAAAGAAGAGACCAUAGCAUAAAAAAGAUACGUUUCCAGACUCUUCCAGGGGCCAGUAAGAGUGUAU
Molecule: unclassified non-coding RNA, 2992 nt
Filed under: Hevea brasiliensis (rubber tree)
Lineage: Eukaryota; Viridiplantae; Streptophyta; Magnoliopsida; Malpighiales; Euphorbiaceae
Source: RNAcentral